UUGAUGCAAGACAAGAUGAAGAUGAGCAAAAAGCCAGUUUACAAAAAAAAAAGAUGAAUAUGUGCAAAAUAGCAUGUUGGAGAAAAAACUAUUUACCACUAGCUCAUUCUCUAUCUGAAUUAGAGAACUUCUAUGGUCAUUUUCUGUUUGUACUUUAUAAAUAAGGUCUCUAAAGACUCAAGGGGUGCAAUUUGACUUUUGGUAAAACAAAAUAGCUGAGAGAGAGUAACUAUAAUCUACAUAAUCUAACUUAAGAUCAGAGUUAAUCGUUUAGAUAGUUUAUUUUCUUAAUUAGCUUCCACACGGUCAGUUCAUUGUUUACAAUUUUACCAAUUUUUUUUUAACAAAUCAUGUUCGGUGGAUCCAGUUAGCCUGUAUACGCACUCAAGAGCUAAAGUCAGUCGCAUCUACAUAGA
This 416-nucleotide long non-coding RNA is filed under the name Brassica napus (rape). RNAcentral describes it as "long non-coding RNA (BNAP_LNC004434)". The record is from RNAcentral. Lineage: Eukaryota; Viridiplantae; Streptophyta; Magnoliopsida; Brassicales; Brassicaceae.